This 443-nucleotide ribosomal RNA is filed under the name uncultured bacterium. RNAcentral describes it as "partial 16S ribosomal RNA". It matches the Rfam family "Bacterial small subunit ribosomal RNA", at positions 338 to 795 of the family's 1533-position model. The record is from RNAcentral.
CCUACUGGAGGCCGCAGUGGGGAAUAUUGGGCAAUGGGCGCAAGCCUGACCCAGCAACGCCGCGUGAAGGAAGAAGGCUUUCGGGUUGUAAACUUCUUUUCUCAGGGACGAAGAAAGUGACGGUACCUGAGGAAUAAGACACGGCUAACUACGUGCAAGCAGCAGCGGUCAUACGUAGGUGGCAAGCGUUAUCCGUAUUUACUGGGGGUAAAGGGCGUGUAGGCGGGACUGCAAGUCAGAUGUGAAAACCACGGGCUCAACCUGUGGCCUGCAUUUGAAACUGUAGUUCUUGAGUACUGGAGAGGCAGACGGAAUUCCUAGUGUAGCGGUGAAAUGCGUAGAUAUUAGGAGGAACACCAGUGGCGAAGGCGGUCUGCUGGACAGCAACUGACGCUGAGGCGCGAAAGCGUGGGGAGCAAACAGGAUUAGAUACCCUGGUAGUC